GGCGCCGGGCUGGGAGGCUGCGGCGAUGGCGCUGGGCUUGGGGGAGUGGGGCUGGGAGGCGCCGGGCUGGGCGGCAGCGGACUCGGCGGCUGCGGCGAGGGCGGCGGGCUGGGUGGAGUGGGGCUCGGCGGGGCAGGGCUGGGCGGCGCCGGGCUAGGAGGCGCCGGGCUGGGGGGUGGGCUGGGUGGCGCUGGGCUGGGAGGCCGCGGGCUAGGCGGCGCGGGGCUAGGCGCCGGGCUAGGCGGCACCGGGCUGGGAGGCGCCGGGCUGGGAGGCCGCGGGCUAGGCGGCGCGGGGCUAGGCGCCGGGCUGGGCGGCACCGGGCUGGGAGGCGCCGGGCUGGGAGGCUGCGGCGAUGGCGCUGGGCUUGGGGGAGUGGGGCUGGGAGGCGCCGGGCUGGGCGGCAGCGGACUCGGCGGCUGCGGCGAGGGCGGCGGGCUGGGUGGAGUGGGGCUCGGCGGGGCAGGGCUGGGCGGCGCCGGGCUAGGAGGCGCCGGGCUGGGGGGUGGGCUGGGUGGCGCCGGGCUGGGAGGCCGCGGGCUAGGCGGCGCGGGGCUAGGCGCCGGGCUAGGCGGCACCGGGCUGGGAGGCGCCGGGCUGGGAGGCUGCGGCGAUGGCGCUGGGCUUGGGGGAGUGGGGCUGGGAGGCGCCGGGCUAGGCGGACGGGGGCUGGGAGGCCGAGGGCUAGGCGGCGCAGGGCUAGGUGGCGCAGGGCUGGGCGGACGGGUGGCGCACUUGAAGUCCGGCGAGUCGGGGUGCGGCACGGUGAAGGUCCACAGACUGGAAAGGGACGCAAAGGGCAAACACGCACGAGCAGAUUCAGAUAGACGCGCACAGCAGCAUAGUCACACAUGUGCACAACAGGGUACGGUACGGCCGCAAGUCGGGACCGCAGGACAUCAUGCGCUCACCACUCGUUCGGCUGGUCGCCAGUGCCGCAGCCCGCGAGCUGGCCGUUCACCGUGCGUGGGCCCUGGCACGUCGCAGCCAGGCCGUUCAGCGUCACGCUCAGCGGCGGCGCGCCGGCGGCAAGGCACGAGCCGCUGCCGUCCUUGACGGUGAAAUACACCGUGGCGGGGGCCAGCGUAGACGUGCUGAAGCGAACGUACUGGCAGUAGCGCUCUGCAGGCGGACGCGUAUGACAAACGUUCACUCAGGUUGCAUGCAGCAAGCCAGUCACGCACAGGGCGAUCCGUCACUAGGAGCCAUGGCAUACGAAGCUUCCCAACGCUCCAGCCGCAUACCGUAGCUGAGGAGCGAACCGGCAGACCCUUCAAGGCAGCAGAUUCUCCAUGCACACACUUACGUGACAGGCCGCCCCACCAAGUGUCGCGCUUGGCCGUGGCGCCGGUCACCGCAGAUGCGCCGGCGGACGGGAUGACGCCGUAGAACUGGUCGCCGCUGCAGAUGUGGCUGACACUGUCGGCGGGGUAGGCCUUGGGGCAGUUGCGGCUGUUGUCCCAGUACAGACACACCUGGCAGUCCUGCGCCGUGGUGCCGUUGGCAAGCGUCACCAUGCUGCACGCGUCACUGUAGUACACCGACAUGCAUGACGCCUGGUCCACGCACGUGUCCAGCGGGCCUUUGCUGCCGGGCGUGACUGCAGUGAAGUUGGUGGGGUCGGAGAAAACGCAGCCCGACGGGGGCUGCCCCUGAACCAGCGGGUUGGGCGGCGGCGCCGGGCUCGGCGGCGAGGGGCUGGGCGGCGAGGGGCUGGGCGGCCGCGGGCUGGGCGGCGGGCUGGGUGGGGCAGGGCUCGGAGGCGCCGGGCUAGGAGGCGCCGGGCUAGGGGGUGGGCUGGGUGGCGCCGGGCUGGGAGGCCGCGGACUGGGCGGCUGCGGCGAUGGCGGCGGGCUGGAGCUCCGCGGGGCCGGGCUGGGCGGAGUCAAGGUCGGCGGUGCCGGGCUCGGAGGUGGGUUGGGUGGCGCCGGGCUGGGAGGCCGCGGGCUAGGCGGCGCGGGGCUAGGCGCCGGGCUAGGCGGCACCGGGCUGGGAGGCGAAGGGCUAGGCGGACGGGGGCUGGAAGGCCGAGGGCUAGGCGGCGCAGGGUUAGGUGGCGCAGGGCUUGGCGGACGGGUGGCGCACUUGAAGUCCGGCGAGUCGGGGUGCGGCACGGUGAAGGUCCACAGACUGGAAAGGGACGCAAAGGGCAAACACACGCAAACAGAGUCAGAUAGACGCUUACAGCAGCAUAGUCACACGUGCGCACAACAUGGCAAGGUAAGGCCGCAAGUCGGGACCGCAGGACAUCAUGCGCUCACCACUCGUUCGGCUGGUCGCCAAUGCCGCAGCCCGCGAGCUGGCCGUUCACCGUGCGUGGGCCCUGGCACGUCGCAGCCAGGCCGUUCAGCGUCACGCUCAGCGGCGGCGCGCCGGCGGCAAGGCACGAGCCGCUGCCGUCCUUGACGGUGAAAUACACAGUGGCGGGGGCCAGCGUAGACGUGCUGAAGCGAACGUACUGGCAGUAGCGCUCUGCAGGCGGACGCGUAUGACAAACGUUCACUCAGGUUGCAUGCAGCAAGCCAGUCACGCACAGGGCGAUCCGUCACUAGGAGCCAUGGCAUAGCAGGUUUUCAGAAGCUUCCCUGCGCUCCAGCCGCAUACCGUAGCUGAGGAGCGAACCGGCAGACCCUUCAAGGCAGCAGAUUCUCCAUGCACACACUUACGUGACAGGCCGCCCCACCAAGUGUCGCGCUUGGCCGUGGCGCCGGUCACCGCAGAUGCGCCGGCGGACGGGAUGACGCCGUAGAACUGGUCGCCGCUGCAGAUGUGGCUGACACUGUCGGCGGGGUAGGCCUUGGGGCAGUUGCGGCUGUUGUCCCAGUACAGACACACCUGGCAGUCCUGCGCCGUGGUGCCGUUGGCAAGCGUCACCAUGCUGCACGCGUCACUGUAGUACACCGACAUGCAUGACGCCUGGUCCACGCACGUGUCCAGCGGGCCCUUGCUGCCGGGCGUGACUGCAGUGAAGUUAGUGGGGUCGGAGAAAACGCAGCCCGACGGGGGCUGCCCCUGAACCAGCGGGUUGGGCGGCGGCGCCGGGCUCGGCGGCGAGGGGCUGGGCGGCGAGGGGCUGGGCGGCCGCGGGCUGGGCGGCGGGCUGGGUGGGGCAGGGCUCGGAGGCGCCGGGCUAGGAGGCGCCGGGCUAGGGGGUGGGCUGGGUGGCGCCGGGCUGGGAGGCCGCGGACUGGGCGGCUGCGGCGAUGGCGGCGGGCUGGAGCUCCGCGGGGCCGGGCUGGGCGGAGUCAAGGUCGGCGGUGCCGGGCUCGGAGGUGGGUUGGGUGGCGCCGGGCUGGGAGGCCGCGGGCUAGGCGGCGCGGGGCUAGGCGCCGGGCUAGGCGGCACCGGGCUGGGAGGCGAAGGGCUAGGCGGACGGGGGCUGGAAGGCCGAGGGCUAGGCGGUGCAGGGAUAGGUGGCGCAGGGCUGGGCGGACGGGUGGCGCACUUGAAGUCCGGCGAGUCGGGGUGCGGCACGGUGAAGGUCCACAGACUGGAAAGGGACGCAAAGGGCAAACACACGCAAACAGAGUCAGAUAGACGCUUACAGCAGCAUAGUCACACGUGCGCACAACAUGGCAAGGUAAGGCCGCAAGUCGGGACCGCAGGACAUCAUGCGCUCACC
Molecule: long non-coding RNA, 3622 nt
Filed under: Chlamydomonas reinhardtii
Lineage: Eukaryota; Viridiplantae; Chlorophyta; Chlorophyceae; Chlamydomonadales; Chlamydomonadaceae
Description: long non-coding RNA (CREI_LNC001136)
Source: RNAcentral